UGGGGAAUAUUGCACAAUGGGGGAAACCCUGAUGCAGCGACGCCGCGUGAACGAAGAAGGUAUUCGUAUCGUAAAGUUCUGUCCUAUGGGAAGAUAAUGACAGUACCAUAGAAGAAAGCUCCGGCUAAAUACGUGCCAGCAGCCGCGGUAAUACGUAUGGAGCGAGCGUUGUCCGGAAUUAUUGGGCGUAAAGGGUACGCAGGCGGUUUAAUAAGUCGAAUGUUAAAGAUCGGGGCUCAACCCCGCAAAGCAGUGGAAACUGAUAAACUUGAGUAGUGGAGAGGAAAGUGGAAUUCCUAGUGUAGUGGUGAAAUAAGUAGAUAUUAGGAGGAGUACCAGUAGCGAAGGCGACUUUCUGGACACAAACUGACGCUGAGGUACGAAAGCGUGGGGAGCAAACAGG
This 403-nucleotide ribosomal RNA is filed under the name bacterium. RNAcentral's name for it is "partial 16S ribosomal RNA". It matches the Rfam family "Bacterial small subunit ribosomal RNA", at positions 355 to 776 of the family's 1533-position model. The record is from RNAcentral.